GGAUGAGAGGGUGAUCUGACAGAGACAGCUGUCAUCCAUCAUCCCGUUGACCUUCGGGGUUAAUUCACCUGAUCUGGCUGGCUGACUGCGGGUCAUCUCCACCCACCCUCACUACCCCAUGGGCAUCCCCUUUGAAACUCCUUGAAUGAUAAUUUAAAAAAAAAGAGAAGAGAGCACUUCUUUCAUCAGAAAUGGCUAUUCAUUCUUUCAACAAAUGUUUAUUGAGCCCUUUCUUAUACGUCAAGCAUUGUCUAGGAUAUGGUG
Molecule: small RNA, 264 nt
Filed under: Choloepus hoffmanni (Hoffmann's two-fingered sloth)
Lineage: Eukaryota; Metazoa; Chordata; Mammalia; Pilosa; Megalonychidae
Description: 7SK RNA (ENSCHOG00000015995.1)
Source: RNAcentral